Long non-coding RNA from Xyrauchen texanus (razorback sucker), 350 nucleotides. RefSeq lists it as uncharacterized. The record is from RefSeq and is a predicted model, not a curated record. Lineage: Eukaryota; Metazoa; Chordata; Actinopteri; Cypriniformes; Catostomidae. The transcript has 3 exons.
UGGUGUUACUGGAGGAGAUCAGAUCAGAUGCUGGUGUUACUGGGGGAGAUCAGAUCAGAUGCUGGUGUUACUGGAGGAGAUCAGAUCAGAUGCUGGUGUUACUGGGGGAGAUCAGAUCAGAUGCUGGUGUUACUGGAGGAGAUCAGAUCAGAUGCUGGUGUUACUGGGGGAGAUCAGAUCAGAUGCUGGUGUUACUGGAGGAGAUCAGAUCAGAUGCUGGUGUUACUGGGGGAGAUCAGAUCAGAUGCUGGUGUUACUGGGUGAGAUCAGAUCAGAUGCUGGUGUUACUGGGGGAGAUCAGAUCAGAUGCUGGUGUUACUGGGGGAGAUCAGAUCAGAUGCUGGUGUUAC